This 439-nucleotide ribosomal RNA is filed under the name uncultured bacterium. RNAcentral's name for it is "partial 16S ribosomal RNA". It matches the Rfam family "Bacterial small subunit ribosomal RNA", at positions 338 to 795 of the family's 1533-position model. The record is from RNAcentral.
CCUACGGGAGGCAGCAGUGGGGAAUCUUGCACAAUGGGGGAAACCCUGAUGCAGCAACGCCGCGUGAGUGAAGAAGUAUUUCGGUAUGUAAAGCUCUAUCAGCAGGGAAGAGAAUUACAGUACCUGACUAAGAAGCCCGGCUAACUACAUGCCAGCAGCCGCGGCAAUUCGGUGGGGGCAAGCAUUAUCCGGAUUUAAUGGGUGUAAAGGGAGCGUAGACGGCUUUACAAGUCUGAAGUGAAAGCCCGUGGGUCAACCGCGGAACUGCUUUGGAAACUGUAAAGCUGGAGUACAGGAGAAGCAGGCGGAAUUCCUAGUGUAGCGGUGAAAUGCGUAGAUAUUAGGAGGAACACCAGUGGCGAAGGCGGCCUGCUGGACAGAAACUGACGUUGAGGCUCGAAAGCGUGGGGAGCAAACAGGAUUAGAUACCCUGGUAGUC